Molecule: ribosomal RNA, 440 nt
Filed under: uncultured bacterium
Lineage: Bacteria
Description: partial 16S ribosomal RNA
Rfam family: Bacterial small subunit ribosomal RNA
Source: RNAcentral
CCUACGGGAGGCAGCAGUGAGGGAUAUUGGUCAAUGGGGGAAACCCUGAACCAGCAACGCAGCGUGAGGGAAGACGGUUUUCGGAUUGUAAACCUCUGUCCUCUGUGAAGAUAAUGACGGUAGCAGAGGAGGAAGCUCCGGCUAACUCCGUGCCAGCAGCCGCGGUAUUACGUAGGGAGCAACCUUUGUACGGAUUUACUGGGUGGAAGGGGUGGGUAGGCGGCCUUGCAAGUGAGAAGUGAAAUCCAUGGGCUUAACCCGGGAAGUGCUGUUGAAACUGUAGGGCUUGAGUGAAGUAGAGGCAGGCGGAAUUCCCGGUGUAGCGGUGAAAUGCGUAGAGAUCGGGAGGAACACCAGUGGCGAAGGCGGCCGGCUGGGCUUUAACUGACGCUGAAGCACGAAAGCGUGGGUAGCAAACAGGAUUAGAUACCCGAGUAGUC